RNAcentral lists this long non-coding RNA (228 nucleotides) under Linum usitatissimum (flax). RNAcentral's name for it is "long non-coding RNA (LUSI_LNC000876)". Lineage: Eukaryota; Viridiplantae; Streptophyta; Magnoliopsida; Malpighiales; Linaceae. The record is from RNAcentral.
UAUGUCUCGUUCUCUUCUAAGCCCACCCUCGACAGUACAAUAUUUUUGUAUAGUUCACUCUGUUUUGGGUCUGUUCUAGAAGAACGCUUUCUUAGCAUUUACGUAGUUUGCAUUGCUCUCCAGGCGGUUCCUGAAAGGGCCAAACUUUAUGCCAUGGUUUCAGAGAAGGCGUGAUGUUGCAGAACAAGAACAACAUAGGCUAUGGAGGGAAGCAAGGAUGACUACGGA